GUGUCCCUGCGGAGGGGGUGUUUUUAAGAAUUCGCAGCACUACUUCUAAGGAGCCAUUAGUCUCUCUCCUGCCCAGGGCUCCAGGACCCUCAACUUGUUCGAGGCAAGCGGGCUAUGAGAAAGGGAAGUCGCAGAAAUCUUCAAGCGGAAGGUUUAAUUCUGAGCCCUCCUGGGGCCACCCUCAGGCGUGCAAUCAUCUCUCUUCUCUCUGGAUGCUGGAGUUAAGGCUCUUCUCGUUCCUCAUCUGGGGUUUGGAAUAUGCUCAGAUUCUUAUCCACGGAAGGACCCUCCCCCAACGGGAUCCUGUGCCACCGCAUCGACGAAGGAGCCACCUGCCUACUCCAGAGGAUUAGUGAAUGCGUAUCUAACAGCCCUGUUGACAGACCUCCUUUGUGCUGAUAUAGAGGACAGCAACAGCCCCUUGCCGAGUCUCCCAGCAAUCCACAAUUCCCUGUGAGGAGCCGGAGGAAGUGACUAUUGUGACCCCACGGACCUGCUUAAGCUCUGGGGAACCCUCGGAAGUUGGAGCACCAGAGCUGCGAAAGUUCAGACCCUGUAGAGUCCCCGUGAGUCAGUUACUUCAGGGCGCAGAACUAGCAAGGAUGAAUAAGUAAUUCUGAGGAUGCCACCUCUGCUUCUGUGUGGGAGGGGGAGGGGGAAAGAGGGAGCUGGGUUAGCAGCGAGAGAGGGCCUGGGGCUCAGCUGCCUCUCUGGUACACCAGGAAUGACGGGCUGGGCCUCAGCUGCAUGACAUCACUGCUUGCAGGAGGCAUAGAACAGCCGGUGGGCAGCUGGCUGGGCAGGGAAUGCUUGUUUUCUUAAUAGCUCAUAUUGCCUAACCACAUCCACGGUAUAGUGUUGUGUUGGUGCUGGGGCCCCGCUGACGGAGGGUCUGAUCCAGUACAGAUCAGAGACCUGACUCCCAGGAGGUCUGCAGGUAGGAGCCAGGUAGAUAGGGCAUUUUGUGUUAGAUAUGGGGAUAUAUGGCUGUCUCUUGGUCUAGUCCCAUCCAGAAGCCAAGCAAGGGCCAUCUGCCUCUUGAAUGGCCAGGUGGGAGUGACAGAAGGAAGGGACACUCAGUCUGGUUUUCCUCAGAGUAGCAACAUGUCACUCAUAAGACAUGGAAUACAUAUUUUCUCACCUCUCACUUUAGCAGGAGAAAUGCAGAAAUUGAAAGCUCUUAGGGCAGGAACUCUACAGAUCUCUUCCCUGUUGGCAAAUGCACACCUGUUCAGCAUCAUAAUCCGUGGCUUUUAGGGUAGGGGUGGGGUGGGCAGCAUUGUACACCAGGCUACCCAAGCCCCAAAACGCACAUUCCAACCUCCAGGCCAAGGCUCUCUCUACCACUGACUUCAGACUGAAGUCAGCAUCCCCUUUCUGCAUGGCUGUCUGAUCAUGCCUGAACCUGUCUCCUGCCCACUGGCUGUGCCUCUCCUCACAGUUUGGUCUGCUACCACAGCAAGUGCCUCCCUACAGACAAGCAGGGUCCCAUCACUCCCCUGCUUACAUUCCACUGUGGUCUGGAAGCUGGCGUCCCACAGACUCAGCUCUCACUGUGAUACUAAGUGGUGGAGGGUUUAGGAGAUGAUUCGGUUAGGAGGGCUCUGUCCUCAUGCAUGGGACAAGGGCUGUGCUAGGCAGUUUUGUGUCAACUUGACCCAGACUGGACUUAUCUGAAAAAAAGGGAGCGUCUGUUGAAAAAAAUACACCCAAGCCUGGUGGUGGUGGUGCACGCCUUUAAUCCCCACACUCAAGAGGCAGAGGCAGGUGGAUCUC
This is a long non-coding RNA of Mastomys coucha (southern multimammate mouse), 1776 nucleotides long. RefSeq lists it as uncharacterized. The transcript has 4 exons. NCBI's taxonomy places the organism in Eukaryota, Metazoa, Chordata, Mammalia, Rodentia, Muridae. The record is from RefSeq and is a predicted model, not a curated record.